ACAUAUUAACAUGUUCAACAUAUAUCUCAUAAAUAUUGGACUAACAUAACAUACAUGUUACAGUUCAUAUAACAAGUAUAAAGAUUGAGUUCCUUACUCAAUCAACAUGCUUUACUCAAUCAACGUAGUCAUAAGUUGACUUUAACAUUUCAUACAUUCAACAUAUAUAUAACACAUCAUGCUCUUUGUAAUAAAGAUAUAAAACAAUAAAAUGCACAUAGCAAAU
RNAcentral lists this long non-coding RNA (226 nucleotides) under Panax ginseng (ginseng). RNAcentral describes it as "long non-coding RNA (PGIN_LNC002570)". The record is from RNAcentral. Lineage: Eukaryota; Viridiplantae; Streptophyta; Magnoliopsida; Apiales; Araliaceae.